Molecule: ribosomal RNA, 590 nt
Filed under: Salmonella enterica subsp. enterica serovar Stanley
Lineage: Bacteria; Pseudomonadati; Pseudomonadota; Gammaproteobacteria; Enterobacterales; Enterobacteriaceae
Description: partial 23S ribosomal RNA
Rfam family: Bacterial large subunit ribosomal RNA
Source: RNAcentral
GGGUUGUGAGGUUAAGCGACUAAGCGUACACGGUGGAUGCCCUGGCAGUCAGAGGCGAUGAAGGGCGUGCUAAUCUGCGAUAAGCGCCGGUAAGGUGAUAUGAACCGUUAUAACCGGCGAUACCCGAAUGGGGAAACCCAGUGUGACUCGUCACACUAUCAUUAACUGAAUCCAUAGGUUAAUGAGGCGAACCGGGGGAACUGAAACAUCUAAGUACCCCGAGGAAAAGAAAUCAACCGAGAUUCCCCCAGUAGCGGCGAGCGAACGGGGAGGAGCCCAGAGCCUGAAUCAGCAUGUGUGUUAGUGGAAGCGUCUGGAAAGGCGCGCGAUACAGGGUGACAGCCCCGUACACAAAAGCGCAUGUGUUGUGAGCUCGAUGAGUAGGGCGGGACACGUGGUAUCCUGUCUGAAUAUGGGGGGACCAUCCUCCAAGGCUAAAUACUCCUGACUGACCGAUAGUGAACCAGUACCGUGAGGGAAAGGCGAAAAGAACCCCGGCGAGGGGAGUGAAAAAGAACCUGAAACCGUGUACGUACAAGCAGUGGGAGCACCCUUCGGGGUGUGACUGCGUACCUUUUGUAUAAUGGGUC